Clupea harengus (Atlantic herring) is the source of this 528-nucleotide long non-coding RNA. RefSeq lists it as uncharacterized. The transcript has 3 exons. The record is from RefSeq and is a predicted model, not a curated record. NCBI's taxonomy places the organism in Eukaryota, Metazoa, Chordata, Actinopteri, Clupeiformes, Clupeidae.
UUAGAUGGAGAUAAAAGGACCAGACGUUGUGUGCGUGCAUUACGGUGUCUGUAACCACACCCCUUCUCCUGUUGAGGUGCUUUCCUGAUUUGCCGGCCCUGUAUUCCUAGCCUUCCCUCUGACGCUCGCCUUCGGUAUGUCCUUGUCCCUGCAUGUUCAGUGAGGAACCGUACUUCGCCGCUGACCUCGUCGUUCCAGUUAUAACUGUUAAGCCUCAUCUGCUUAGCCAGUGAGACUCCGUGACCGUGCUGAAGGGCCUGAUCACAAAGGUGCUGCUGUUUUGUUUAGCAUGACAAUGCGUGUAUGAUCCAGCAUGCUCGUUACUCUGCCAAACUGUUGUUUUGCAUGUUGGUCUGACAUAUCUCUGAACUGGGUUUUCGUUUUCUUUGUCAUGUUCUUUUUGUCUGGGCAUUGUACCAUCUUGUUAACUCCAAUGGUGUAAUGCUUCUGUCUGGUGUGUUUUCUGUCUGCAUGUGACUGUGGAUAAGGCUGGUGGCGCUGUAGCUGUCCUGGUGCAUAUUUGUUCUG